Molecule: ribosomal RNA, 496 nt
Filed under: uncultured bacterium
Lineage: Bacteria
Description: partial 16S ribosomal RNA
Rfam family: Bacterial small subunit ribosomal RNA
Source: RNAcentral
AUUGAACGCUGGCGGAAUGCUUUACACAUGCAAGUCGAACGGUAGAGGGGGCAACCCCUCGAGAGUGGCGAACGGGUGAGUAAUAUAUCGGAACGUGCCCAGUCGUGGGGGAUAACGUAGCGAAAGUUACGCUAAUACCGCAUACGAUCUAUGGAUGAAAGCGGGGGAUCGCAAGACCUCGCGCGAUUGGAGCGGCCGAUAUCAGAUUAGGUAGUUGGUGGGGUAAAGGCCCACCAAGCCAACGAUCUGUAGCUGGUCUGAGAGGACGACCAGCCACGCGGGAACGGAGACACGGUCCAGACUCCUACGGGAGGCAGCAGUGGGGAAUUUUGGACAAUGGGCGAAAGCCUGAUCCAGCCAUUCCGCGUGCAGGAUGAAGGCCCUCGGGUUGUAAACUGCUUUUGUACAGAACGAAAAGGUUUCUACUAAUACUAGGAGCUCAUGACGGUACUGUAAGAAUAAGCACCGGCUAACUACGUGCCAGCCGCCGCCGUAA